Molecule: unclassified non-coding RNA, 457 nt
Filed under: Candidatus Phytoplasma solani
Lineage: Bacteria; Bacillati; Mycoplasmatota; Mollicutes; Acholeplasmatales; Acholeplasmataceae
Description: partial contains 16S ribosomal RNA and 16S-23S ribosomal RNA intergenic spacer
Rfam family: Bacterial small subunit ribosomal RNA (bases 1-310)
Source: RNAcentral
UGGCUGUUACAAAGGGUAGCUAAAGCGUAAGCUUCUGGCGAAUCUCAAAAAAGCAGUCUCAGUUCGGAUUGAAGUCUGCAACUCGACUUCAUGAAGUUGGAAUCGCUAGUAAUCGCGAAUCAGCAUGUCGCGGUGAAUACGUUCUCGGGGUUUGUACACACCGCCCGUCAAACCACGAAAGUUGGCAAUACCCAAAGCCGGUGGCCUAACUUGAGCAAUCAAGAAGGAGCCGUCUAAGGUAGGGUUGAUGAUUGGGGUUAAGUCGUAACAAGGUAUCCCUACCGGAAGGUGGGGAUGGAUCACCUCCUUUCUAAGGAUAAAGUUAUCAUCUUCAGUUUUGAGAGACUUAAGAAAGUUUUUCAUUUUUUAAGAUUCGGGCCUAUAGCUCAGCUGGUUAGAGCACACGCCUGAUAAGCGUGAGGUCGGUGGUUCAAGUCCAUUUAGGCCCACCAAAAUA